AUUUUGUACUUUUGUCGGGCGACUGGUGGUUGCCCUCUGAUUUUACUGAUUUUACUGCCUUUUAUUUGAAACAGUGUUUUAUUAUACCGGAAACAAAUUAAAAUGAAUCCAGAGAUUGGGUGCUGAUUUAAUUAAUCCGGCAGUUUGAAGUAAAUGAGAUGUAGAACGUGUGAUGUGCACGCCCAUUAAUAUCUAUAAAAAAUGGAAAAUACCGUAUCUCGGACACAACGUGACCACAGAACUUCUCAUAGAAUAUGGAUCCGCCCUACGAACCCAAUGUUUCAUUUUAAAAUUAAUUUGAACACUUUUUUAUUGUCAGUUCUGUUGUUUUUAUAAUUUUAGUAAUUGUUAUAAGAUAAUUUAAAACUAUAAAUAAAAUAUUACAUUCUUUAGUGUUGCGAAUAU
Molecule: small RNA, 405 nt
Filed under: Caenorhabditis elegans
Lineage: Eukaryota; Metazoa; Nematoda; Chromadorea; Rhabditida; Rhabditidae
Description: Unclassified non-coding RNA Y7A9A.79b
Source: RNAcentral